GGGAAUUAUAUCCCUGUAUGCUAUGCAAUUAUUUAAAAAUACUCCUUUUAUAUUAAUUAUAAAUUUGGAUGCCAAGGAACACUCUGAGUUUAUGGCACCCUACAACUAGGCAUACUUCUGCCUAGGUGAAAUAGAAAGAUCCACAUAUUGGCAUGAACAUGUCCAGGUAUUUUUAUGUGGAAGAGGCAAUCUUUGUGUUUUUUUCUACAGGAUGCUACAGAAGUGUGCCAGCUGCCUGCGUGUCUGGUGAGACAUGCUGAUCCUGGGAGCAUGAAGAUUCAGCUCUCCUGGUUCGGGACCGUGGAGUCAUUCCUGUGCCCUUGAAAGAAGAUGGAGACUUUUUAGGAUUUACCCUCACCGAGCACAGGAAGAUAACAUUCAAGGGAUGCCUCAGCUUGAGCAGAUACCAGUUAUCUCCUGAGUCAACACCCGGUGUCUCCACCGCAUGACCUCAUCGUCUACCGCCUGACCUCUUUGCCUCCUGCUAUCACUGACUAUAUCCUCAUCCCUCCAUCCUUUGUGUUUCACAAAGGACACUCCCCCUACCUGAAAGCCUUAAAAGCUGGAACGUUCACCCCAAUAAAUGAGACCUUGACAAUAGAA
Molecule: long non-coding RNA, 603 nt
Organism: Rattus norvegicus (Norway rat)
Lineage: Eukaryota; Metazoa; Chordata; Mammalia; Rodentia; Muridae
Source: RefSeq, a predicted model, not a curated record